CGAGCGCGAAAACACUUCGGUGUGAGUAGAGCGGCGGACGGGUGAGUAAUGCUUGGGAAUCUGCCCAAUAGUGGGGGAUAGCCCGGGGAAACUCGGAUUAAUACCGCAUACGCCCCACGGGGGAAAGGCCGGGAUCUUCGGACCGGUCACUAUUGGAGGAGCCUGCGUAGGAUUAGCUAGUUGGUGAGGUAAAGGCUCACUAAGCCGACGAUCAGUAGCUGGUCUGAGAGGACGAUCAGCCACACUGGAACUGAGACACGGCCCAAACUCC
This 271-nucleotide ribosomal RNA is filed under the name uncultured bacterium. RNAcentral's name for it is "partial 16S ribosomal RNA". It matches the Rfam family "Bacterial small subunit ribosomal RNA", at positions 63 to 339 of the family's 1533-position model. The record is from RNAcentral.